AUACUCACCUGGCAGGGAAGAUACCAUGAUCACGAAGGUGGUUUUUCUCAGGGUGAGGCUCAUCGAUUGCACUCCGGAUGUGCUGACCCCUGCGAUGUCCCCAAAUGUGGAAAACUCGACUGCAUAAUUUGUGGUAGUGGGGGACUGCAUUCAUGCUUUUCCCUG
Molecule: small nuclear RNA, 165 nt
Organism: Nomascus leucogenys (northern white-cheeked gibbon)
Lineage: Eukaryota; Metazoa; Chordata; Mammalia; Primates; Hylobatidae
Gene: U1
Rfam family: U1 spliceosomal RNA
About the family: U1 is a small nuclear RNA (snRNA) component of the spliceosome (involved in pre-mRNA splicing).
Source: Ensembl